Molecule: ribosomal RNA, 711 nt
Filed under: uncultured Staphylococcus sp.
Lineage: Bacteria; Bacillati; Bacillota; Bacilli; Caryophanales; Staphylococcaceae
Description: bacterial SSU rRNA
Rfam family: Bacterial small subunit ribosomal RNA
Source: RNAcentral
CCUCUGACGUUAGCGGCGGACGGGUGAGUAACACAUGGAUAACCUACCUAUAAGACUGGGAUAACUUCGGGAAACCGGAGCUAAUACCGGAUAAUAUAUUGAACCGCAUGGUUCAAUAGUGAAAGACGGUUUUGCUGUCACUUAUAGAUGGAUCCGCGCCGCAUUAGCUAGUUGGUAAGGUAACGGCUUACCAAGGCAACGAUGCGUAGCCGACCUGAGAGGGUGAUCGGCCACACUGGAACUGAGACACGGUCCAGACUCCUACGGGAGGCAGCAGUAGGGAAUCUUCCGCAAUGGGCGAAAGCUUGACGGAGCAACGCCGCGUGAGUGAUGAAGGUCUUCGGAUCGUAAAACUCUGUUAUUAGGGAAGAACAAAUGUGUAAGUAACUAUGCACGUCUUGACGGUACCUAAUCAGAAAGCCACGGCUAACUACGUGCCAGCAGCCGCGGUAAUACGUAGGUGGCAAGCGUUAUCCGGAAUUAUUGGGCGUAAAGCGCGCGUAGGCGGUUUUUUAAGUCUGACGUGAAAGCCCACGGCUCAACCGUGGAGGGUCAUUGGAAACUGGAAAACUUGAGUGCAGAAGAGGAAAGUGGAAUUCCAUGUGUAGCGGUGAAAUGCGCAGAGAUAUGGAGGAACACCAGUGGCGAAGGCGACUUUCUGGUCUGUAACUGACGCUGAUGUGCGAAAGCGUGGGGAUCAAACAGGAUUAG